CUCUUUCUGGAGAUUGCUCUUUUUGGAGGUUUCUUUGGAAGCUUACACAGGUGGAUCAUUGGAUGUGUUCAUCUGUGAGUGAGCUGUAGUCCAUGAGUGAUUUGUAUGCGGAGAUAAUAUGAAGUUGAAUGUGCUGGUGGUUUGUUAACUAUAGAAUCAUUCUGAAUCCUUAUUUGGAAAGGACCCACAAGGAUCACUAAGACCAACUCCUGGCUCUACAGAGGCUCACCUAAAAUCCAAACCCUGUGUGAGAGCCUUGUCCAAACACUCCUUGAACUCUGGCAGCUAGGUGCCAUGACCACUGCCCAAGGGAGCCUGUUUAGUGCCUGAGCACCCUCCGGUGCAGAACUUUUUCCUGAUGCAGCUUCAUGCCAUUCUGUAGUCUGCCAUGAGGUCUCCCCUCAGCCUCCUCUGCUUUGGCCUGAACAGACCUCAGUUGCUCCUCACACAUCUUGCCGUUUGGACCCUUCACCAUCUUUGUAGCCUUCCUUUGGAUGCUUUAUAAUAGCUUUAUUUCCUUCUUAUAUUGUAA
Molecule: non-coding RNA, 532 nt
Organism: Coturnix japonica (Japanese quail)
Lineage: Eukaryota; Metazoa; Chordata; Aves; Galliformes; Phasianidae
Source: RefSeq, a predicted model, not a curated record